UACAGGGGGGUGCAAACGUUGCUCGGAAUCAUUGGGCGUAAAGCGCACGUAGGCGGUUCGUUAUGUCGGAUGUGAAAGCCCUUGGCUUAACCGAGGAAGUGCAUCCGAAACUGGCGAGCUAGAGUACUAAAGAGGAUCGCGGAAUUCCCGGUGUAGAGGUGAAAUUCGUAGAUAUCGGGAGGAACACCGGUGGCGAAGGCGGCGACCUGGGUAGAUACUGACGCUGAGGUGCGAAAGCGUGGGGAGCAAACAGG
RNAcentral lists this ribosomal RNA (254 nucleotides) under uncultured bacterium. RNAcentral's name for it is "partial 16S ribosomal RNA". It matches the Rfam family "Bacterial small subunit ribosomal RNA", at positions 524 to 776 of the family's 1533-position model. The record is from RNAcentral.